CGCUGGCGGCGUGCUUAACACAUGCAAGUCGAGCGGAAAGCCCCUUCGGGGUACUCGAACGGCGAACGGGUGAGUAACACGUGAGCAACCUCCCCUAGGCUUUGGGAUAACCCCGGGAAACCGGGGCUAAUACCGAAUAUGACCUGGCCUCGCAUGAGGCUUGGUGGAAAGUUUUUCGGCCUGGGAUGGGCUCGCGGCCUAUCAGCUUGUUGGUGGGGUGAUGGCCUACCAAGGCGACGACGGGUAGCCGGCCUGAGAGGGCGACCGGCCACACUGGGACUGAGACACGGCCCAGACUCCUACGGGAGGCAGCAGUGGGGAAUAUUGCACAAUGGGCGGAAGCCUGAUGCAGCGACGCCGCGUGAGGGAUGACGGCCUUCGGGUUGUAAACCUCUUUCAGCAGGGACGAAGCGUAAGUGACGGUACCUGCAGAAGAAGCGCCGGCCAACUACGUGCCAGCAGCCGCGGUAAGACGUAGGGCGCGAGCGUUGUCCGGAUUUAUUGGGCGUAAAGAGCUCGUAGGCGGCUUGUUACGUCGACCGUGAAAACUUGGGGCUCAACCCCAAGCCUGCGGUCGAUACGGGCAGGCUAGAGUUCGGUAGGGGAGACUGGAAUUCCUGGU
Molecule: ribosomal RNA, 622 nt
Filed under: Micromonospora purpureochromogenes
Lineage: Bacteria; Bacillati; Actinomycetota; Actinomycetes; Micromonosporales; Micromonosporaceae
Description: bacterial SSU rRNA
Rfam family: Bacterial small subunit ribosomal RNA
Source: RNAcentral